Molecule: ribosomal RNA, 467 nt
Filed under: uncultured bacterium
Lineage: Bacteria
Description: partial 16S ribosomal RNA
Rfam family: Bacterial small subunit ribosomal RNA
Source: RNAcentral
GAUGAAUGCUGGCGGCGUGCCUAACACAUGCAAGUCGAGCGGUAACAGGAGUAGUUUACUACUUGCUGACGAGCGGCGGACGGCUGAGUAACGCGUGGGAACGUGCCCCAAAGUGAGGAAUAACUGCCCGAAAGGGUAGCUAAUACCGCAUAUGAUCUUCGGAUUAAAGGAUUUAUCCGCUUUGGGAGCGGCCCGCGUCGGAUUAGGUAGUUGGUGAGGUAAUGGCUCACCAAGCCCACGAUCCGUAGCUGGUCUGAGAGGAUGAUCAGCCAGACUGGAACUGAGACACGGUCCAGACUCCUACGGGAGGCAGCAGUGAGGAAUCUUCCACAAUGGGCGAAAGCCUGAUGGAGCAACGCCGCGUGCAGGAUGAAGGCCUUCGGGUCGUAAACUGCUUUUAUAAGUGAAGAAUAUGACGGUAGCUUAUGAAUAAGCACCGGCUAACUACGUGCCAGCCGCCGCAGUAA